Molecule: unclassified non-coding RNA, 159 nt
Filed under: Hypoxylon rubiginosum
Lineage: Eukaryota; Fungi; Ascomycota; Sordariomycetes; Xylariales; Hypoxylaceae
Description: partial internal transcribed spacer 2
Source: RNAcentral
CAACCAUUAAGCCCUGUUGCUUAGUGUUAGGAGCCUACUACCUUACGGCGUAGCUCCCUAAAGGCAGUGGCGGUGUUAGGUACACUCGUAGCGUAGUAAUUCUUUUUCUCGCUCCUGCUGUGUACCUAGGGCCUGCCGUAAAACCCCUAUACUUCUAGU